RNAcentral lists this long non-coding RNA (229 nucleotides) under Lathyrus oleraceus (garden pea). Its description in RNAcentral is "Pisum sativum (pea) long non-coding RNA (PSAT_LNC037175)". The record is from RNAcentral. Lineage: Eukaryota; Viridiplantae; Streptophyta; Magnoliopsida; Fabales; Fabaceae.
AUUAUUUAAAAUAAAUGUUUAUGUAAAAGGAAAAUUAAUUAAAAUAGAAAGAUACAAAUUUAAUGGAAAAAAAGAAAUAAAAAGUAAAAAGAAAAAGACAUGCAAAAAUUAGGAAGAUGAGACUCGAACUCAUGACCUUUCAUAAUCACAACUCCUUACACAUGUUCUCUUACCAAUUAUGCUAUUUCACGUAUUCGAAAUAAAAUGGAAAUAGAAAGCAUAUGAAGGG